UCCACGCCGAGCGCCUCCGCG
Molecule: unclassified non-coding RNA, 21 nt
Filed under: Chlamydomonas reinhardtii
Lineage: Eukaryota; Viridiplantae; Chlorophyta; Chlorophyceae; Chlamydomonadales; Chlamydomonadaceae
Description: small RNA Cre_2541
Source: RNAcentral